This 483-nucleotide non-coding RNA is filed under the name Salmo salar (Atlantic salmon). Its description in RNAcentral is "Eukaryotic small subunit ribosomal RNA". It matches the Rfam family "Eukaryotic small subunit ribosomal RNA", at positions 4 to 602 of the family's 1831-position model. The record is from Rfam by way of RNAcentral. Lineage: Eukaryota; Metazoa; Chordata; Actinopteri; Salmoniformes; Salmonidae.
CUGGUUGAUCCUGCCAUAUUCUUGUCCCAAAGAUUAAGCCAAGUCUUAGUACACACGGCCAGUACAGUGAAACUUUGCAUGGCUCAUUAAAUCAGUUAAGAUUCUAUUAAAUCACUCCAAUGUUACUUGAAUAACUGUGGCAAUUGUAGCGCUAAGAUAUGCCAACAAGUGUUGGCCGAAAACCGAUACGGGGACCCUUCGUGGCACUGGCAUCUCAUUCAAAUAUCUGCCCUAUCAACUUUCAAUGGUAAUUUGUGCCUACCAUGGUGACGACUGGUAACGGAAAAUCAGGGUUCGACUACGUAGAGGGAGCCUGAGAAACGGCUAGCACAUCCAAGGAAGGAAGCAGGCAAGGAAAUGAGCCACUCCCGAUUCGGGGAAGUACUGACAAAAAAUAAUAACACAGGACUCUUUGGAGUCCCUGUAAUUGGAAUGAGUACACUUCAAAUCUUUUAAUGAGGAUUCAUUACUGAUGUUUAGGAU